Molecule: long non-coding RNA, 174 nt
Organism: Physeter macrocephalus (sperm whale)
Lineage: Eukaryota; Metazoa; Chordata; Mammalia; Artiodactyla; Physeteridae
Exons: 3
Source: RefSeq, a predicted model, not a curated record
UGCGGCAAGUUGUAGCGGGCACCGCUGACCGUGUUUCCCUUUGGGGCACCUCUUUAUCUAGAAGCUGAGUUUAGUUUCUUCAGAAGUUGUGGCUUCUCCUGGUUACGUUGUGCCUGACCGAGGAACUGGCAGGAGCGGUACCUGGGGAGUUUCUUGCCUUUUGGGAGGUCUGAG